Non-coding RNA from Pangasius djambal, 73 nucleotides. The record is from the annotation of a GenBank genome assembly. Lineage: Eukaryota; Metazoa; Chordata; Actinopteri; Siluriformes; Pangasiidae.
GCAGUGGUAGCUCAGUGGUUAAGACGUUGGGCUACUGAUCAGAAAGUCAAUGAGUUCAAAUCCCAGCACCGCC